This 491-nucleotide ribosomal RNA is filed under the name uncultured bacterium. RNAcentral describes it as "partial 16S ribosomal RNA". It matches the Rfam family "Bacterial small subunit ribosomal RNA", at positions 29 to 507 of the family's 1533-position model. The record is from RNAcentral.
GUGAACGCUGGCGGUAGGCCUCACCCCUGCAAGUCGAACGGCAGCACAGUAAGAGCUUGCUCUUACGGGUGGCGAGUGGCGGACGGGUGAGGAAUACAUCGGAAUCUACUUUUUCGUGGGGGAUAACGUAGGGAAACUUACGCUAAUACCGCAUACGACCUACGGGUGGAAGCCGGGGAUCUUCGGACCUUGCGCGAUUGAAUGAGCCGAUGUCGGAUUAGCUAGUUGGCGGGGUAAAGGCCCACCAAGGCGACGAUCCGUAGCUGGUCUGAGAGGAUGAUCAGCCACACUGGAACUGAGACACGGUCCAGACUCCUACGGGAGGCAGCAGUGGGGAAUAUUGGACAAUGGGCGCAAGCCUGAUCCAGCCAUACCGCGUGGGUGAAGAAGGCCUUCGGGUUGUAAAGCCCUUUUGUUGGGAAAGAAAAGCAGCAGGUUAAUACCCCGCUGUUCUGACGGUACCCAAAGAAUAAGCACCGGCUAACUUCGUG